Molecule: ribosomal RNA, 432 nt
Filed under: uncultured bacterium
Lineage: Bacteria
Description: partial 16S ribosomal RNA
Rfam family: Bacterial small subunit ribosomal RNA
Source: RNAcentral
AACGAACGCUGGCGGCAUGCCUAACACAUGCAAGUCGAACGAGACCUUCGGGUCUAGUGGCGCACGGGUGCGUAACACGUGGGAAUCUGCCCUUUGCUUCGGAAUAACAGUUAGAAAUGACUGCUAAUACCGGAUGAUGUCGAAAGACCAAAGAUUUAUCGGCAAAGGAUGAGCCCGCGUAGGAUUAGGUAGUUGGUGGGUAAAGGCCUACCAAGCCGACGAUCCUUAGCUGGUCUGAGAGGAUGAUCAGCCACACUGGGACUGAGACACGGCCCAGACUCCUACGGGAGGCAGCAGUGGGGAAUAUUGGACAAUGGGCGAAAGCCUGAUCCAGCAAUGCCGCGUGAGUGAUGAAGGCCUUAGGGUUGUAAAGCUCUUUUACCAGGGAUGAUAAUGACAGUACCUGGAGAAUAAGCUCCGGCUAACUCCGUG